Molecule: ribosomal RNA, 444 nt
Filed under: uncultured bacterium
Lineage: Bacteria
Description: bacterial LSU rRNA
Rfam family: Bacterial large subunit ribosomal RNA
Source: RNAcentral
CUGAAACAUCUAAGUACCCGGAGGAAAGGAAAUCAAUAGAGACUCCGUUAGUAGUGGCGAGCGAACGCGGACCAGCCGAGCCUUGAAGUGCGAGCAGAAUGGUCUGGAAAGGCCAGCGAUAUGGGUGACAGCCCCGUAUGCGAAGUACCAUGGGACGUAUCAAGUAGGGCGGGACACGUGAAAUCCUGUCUGAAGAUCGGGGGACCACCCCCGAAGGCUAAGUACUCCUUGCUGACCGAUAGCGAACCAGUACCGUGAGGGAAAGGUGAAAAGCACCCCGACGAGGGGAGUGAAACAGUACCUGAAACCGAACGCCUACAAGCAGUCGGAGGGACCAUGAGUCCUGACGGCGUACCUUUUGUAUAAUGGGUCAACGACUUGUUCUUACGAGCAAGCUUAAGCCGAUAGGUGUAGGCGCAGCGAAAGCGAGUCUUAAAAGGGCGC